CACCGGGCGCACCGGCGACACCUGUGGCCGCAGAGGAGAACGACACCUGCUGCACGGAGAGCUGGGCUGCAGGUUGUUCUGUGUUUUUGACUUCAGGUGAAAAGUACAGAAGCUGGUUCAGAUGAAGUGUCAGAGGGUCUGCAUCCUUUGGAAGCUGUAUCUGAGGGCCAAUUUCAUCACUACACUGCAUGAAGGCUGUCCCAAUCCAAAGGCUUCUCCAAAUCCAGCCAUAAAUGCAGUCUUCUUUUCCUUCUUUUUGGAGGAUGCACCGCUACUUUCCUUUGUGGCCUCACAUAUCCCGAGAUUCUAGAUCGUCACUUUCGCGGGCCUGGGUGGCAGAAAUUGCGUAAAACAUCUGGUGACGCAGCCAGGAAAUGCUCCAAAGGCUAGACCGUCCCAUUUAACAAUGGCUGACGUGGUUAACAAGGUCUCUCUGAAGGACUCGCCUUCGAACACCGCAAAGGCCGAGUCCUUUGAAAGAUGCAGACCCUGAAUUGAGACACAGCAACUGAUUCAAACACACCACACCAGCCAUAUACAAAUGUGAGGUAAACUCUCAUAACAUCUUUAAUCCAAUUUUUGUUGUACAGAUCGAAGGAUACACAAAUAUUUAACGUUCCUCAUUCCUUCUUUUUGCAUCAUGGCGUUGUACCCGCAAGCAUCUCAUAAAGCAUUUCAAAAAACA
Long non-coding RNA from Acanthopagrus latus (yellowfin seabream), 685 nucleotides. RefSeq lists it as uncharacterized. Lineage: Eukaryota; Metazoa; Chordata; Actinopteri; Spariformes; Sparidae. The transcript has 2 exons. The record is from RefSeq and is a predicted model, not a curated record.